Molecule: ribosomal RNA, 253 nt
Filed under: uncultured bacterium
Lineage: Bacteria
Description: partial 16S ribosomal RNA
Rfam family: Bacterial small subunit ribosomal RNA
Source: RNAcentral
UACAGAGGUGGCAAGCGUUGUUCGGAAUUACUGGGCGUAAAGGGCGAGUAGGCGGCCUUCUAAGUCAGACGUGAAAUCCCCCGGCUUAACCUGGGAACUGCGUCUGAUACUGGGAGGCUAGAGUAUGGGAGAGGGAUGUGGAAUUCCAGGUGUAGCGGUGAAAUGCGUAGAUAUCUGGAGGAACACCGGUGGCGAAGGCGGCAUCCUGGACCAUUAUUGACGCUGAUACGCGAAAGCUAGGGGAGCAAACGGG